AAAGAAAAAACAUUUCAAAACAAAAUCGGGUAAAACCAAUGAAAACCUAAAUUCCUCUCUCUUCCUUUCUCUCCUUACUCUCACUGAAAUGGCGAUGGAGUAGAAGUUUCAUCCCCACCCGGUGCGUUCAACUGAAAUCGAUGAGAACCCAUUUUGAAGGAGACCUCACCGCAAAACCACCACCACCACCCCCACUGGCGAUGCAGCAGUUACGCACAAUUUUUCAUUGAUUUACCCCAAUGUAUUCACGCGAUUGACGAGGCGAAGAUGAAAGUCUGAAUUGUUAGUGUUA
This 292-nucleotide long non-coding RNA is filed under the name Olea europaea subsp. europaea. Lineage: Eukaryota; Viridiplantae; Streptophyta; Magnoliopsida; Lamiales; Oleaceae. The record is from RNAcentral.